Molecule: non-coding RNA, 395 nt
Filed under: Pan troglodytes (chimpanzee)
Lineage: Eukaryota; Metazoa; Chordata; Mammalia; Primates; Hominidae
Source: RNAcentral
CAGGUAGAAGAGGCCCGUGGGUUUCUUGCUGAUGAGAUGGAUGCAGCCGACAUUGUCUGUGUAGCCGAUGUUGUGCCACGUGAUCCCCUCGCCCUGAUAUUCCUCCUGCAGGGGUGGCGCGGGGUCGAGAUCGACAGAUGCUAUGCUGUACAGGCUAGUCUGGACCUCCUGGCCUCAAGUGAUCCUCCUGCCUCAGUCUCCCGAGUAGCUGAGAUUACAGGAGGAAACGUAGACAUGGCGUGGCAUUCCGAGAUUCCUGUGAAAACGUUCUCCUACCUCUCAUCCUUCUCCUGAGACACCAGGCGAGACUUUUCAAGCAGAUAUUUCUCGACGACAGCUCUGUCAUUAAGAGAAAAACAGAAAGAAUAAAACAUUACAUGUUAGUAUUGUGUUAA